UGAGGAAUAUUGGACAAUGGAGGCAACUCUGAUCCAGCCAUGCCGCGUGCAGGAAGACUGCCCUAUGGGUUGUAAACUGCUUUUAUAGAGGAAGAAACCUCCCUACGUGUAGGGAGCUGACGGUACUCUACGAAUAAGGAUCGGCUAACUCCGUGCCAGCAGCCGCGGUAAUACGGAGGAUCCAAGCGUUAUCCGGAAUCAUUGGGUUUAAAGGGUCCGUAGGCGGGCAGUUAAGUCAGUGGUGAAAGUCUUCCGCUCAACGGGAGAAUUGCCAUUGAUACUGAUUGUCUUGAGUCAUUAUGAAGUGGUUAGAAUGAGUAGUGUAGCGGUGAAAUGCAUAGAUAUUACUCAGAAUACCGAUUGCGAAGGCAGAUCACUAAUAAUGUACUGACGCUGAUGGACGAAAGCGUAGGUAGCGAACAGG
RNAcentral lists this ribosomal RNA (424 nucleotides) under uncultured bacterium. RNAcentral's name for it is "bacterial SSU rRNA". It matches the Rfam family "Bacterial small subunit ribosomal RNA", at positions 355 to 776 of the family's 1533-position model. The record is from RNAcentral.